UACGUAGGGUGCGAGCGUUAUUCGGAAUUACUGGGCGUAAAGCGUGCGCAGGCGGUGAUGUAAGUCAGGUGUGAAAUCCCCGAGCUUAACCUGGGAACUGCAUUUGUGACUGCAUUGCUGGAGUGCGGCAGAGGGGGAUGGAAUUCCGCGUGUAGCAGUGAAAUGCGUAGAUAUGCGGAGGAACACCGAUGGCGAAGGCAAUCCCCUGGGCCUGCACUGACGCUCAUGCACGAAAGCGUGGGGAGCAAACAGG
Molecule: ribosomal RNA, 253 nt
Filed under: uncultured bacterium
Lineage: Bacteria
Description: partial 16S ribosomal RNA
Rfam family: Bacterial small subunit ribosomal RNA
Source: RNAcentral